RNAcentral lists this ribosomal RNA (278 nucleotides) under uncultured bacterium. RNAcentral describes it as "partial 16S ribosomal RNA". It matches the Rfam family "Bacterial small subunit ribosomal RNA", at positions 79 to 354 of the family's 1533-position model. The record is from RNAcentral.
UCUUCUCCGCCGGCGACCGGCGCCACGGGUGGAGUAACACGUAUGCAACCUGCCCCUGUCAGGGGGACAACCCGCCGAAAGGCGGGCUAAACCCGCGUACAUGCCACCGGGGCAUCCCGGAGGCAGGAAAGGCUUCGGCCGGACAGGGAUGGGCAUGCGGCGCAUUAGGCAGUAGGCGGGGUAACGGCCCACCUAACCGACGAUGCGUAGGGGUUCUGAGAGGAAGGUCCCCCACACUGGUACUGAGACACGGACCAGACUCCUACGGGAGGCAGCAG